Molecule: long non-coding RNA, 369 nt
Organism: Oryzias melastigma (Indian medaka)
Lineage: Eukaryota; Metazoa; Chordata; Actinopteri; Beloniformes; Adrianichthyidae
Exons: 2
Source: RefSeq, a predicted model, not a curated record
CCGUGCCUGAAACACAGAAACGGAAACUGUUUCCAUGAAACUGUUUUCAUGACAACAACAGACUGGUGUUGGGCCACGGAGGAACUGAAUUAGAAAUGACUUUAAAUUAUUUAAGCUACAAUUACAAACGAACUUCUCAGAUAAGCAGAGCUGAAGAAAGAAAAAUAUGAAAACAUCCAAAAGCUUUAGAGCUGUGGGCCAAACAUGUUCAGGCAGAUCUCUACAAUGCAUGAGCAGCAGAGCUGACGGCCUGAGACCCAGCACAAACACUGUGGAUUCAGACGUCCACAGACGCUGGAGGACCGCCGCCUUCACUGAGGUCCAAGAAACUCACAUAAACAUGUCAAUAAAGCAAACCUACAAGCGCAA